Rhopalosiphum padi (bird cherry-oat aphid) is the source of this 529-nucleotide long non-coding RNA. RefSeq lists it as uncharacterized. The record is from RefSeq and is a predicted model, not a curated record. NCBI's taxonomy places the organism in Eukaryota, Metazoa, Arthropoda, Insecta, Hemiptera, Aphididae. The transcript has 2 exons.
UCAUAAAAUACUACAUACAAAUUUAAUAUUGUACACUGUUUAUAGGUAUACUCAGAAUUAUAUUGAUUGAAAUGUGUGAUAUUAACUGGAUUUACAAGACUAUACAUGCAAAUUAUCAAAGAGUUUGACAAAUACCACUUUAUUCCGUGGUUAUCACCUCUUGACUUCAGUUGGGUCAGCCCUGGUCCUUGCAGUAUCUUGGUUCAGUUCACAUAUAGUUGCAAACGGAUUAACCUGUGCCAAUGUUAUUAUUUUAAAAAUCCCUCUUUCCUCCUUUCUUACCACCACUCUUCUAUAAUUCUCCACCAUCAACGAACGUUAACGGAACCAUGCUGUGAUCGUGAUGAUUUACCAAAAUAUAUCACUUUAUACAGUAAGUACAAGCCGGAUUGAAUUAUUUAAAAAUGUAAUAUUAUGUAUGUAUAAUAUAUUUAUAUACAUUAUUAUGUAUAAAUUUUUCAUAUUGUUGUAUCAAAUUUGUCAACAACUGUAAUAAACAAUAAACUAAACAAAACAGCUUUAAAUUAAA